RNAcentral lists this ribosomal RNA (253 nucleotides) under uncultured bacterium. RNAcentral's name for it is "partial 16S ribosomal RNA". It matches the Rfam family "Bacterial small subunit ribosomal RNA", at positions 524 to 776 of the family's 1533-position model. The record is from RNAcentral.
UACGAAGGGUGCAAGCGUUACUCGGAAUUACUGGGCGUAAAGCGUGCGUAGGCGGUUCGUUAAGUCAGAUGUGAAAGCCCCGGGCUCAACCUGGGAAUUGCAUUUGAUACUGGCGAGCUAGAGUUCGAUAGAGGGUCGCGGAAUUCCCGGUGUAGCGGUGAAAUGCGUAGAGAUCGGGAGGAACAUCAGUGGCGAAGGCGGCGACCUGGAUCGGAACUGACGCUGAGGCACGAAAGCGUGGGGAGCAAACAGG